UCAAGCAAGCAUCUUAGCUAGUCGCGGGUGGCGCAGCUUUUCGAUCCAUCUACUCCCACAGCAGCACUGGUUCAAGACAUCGAGCACUCUGUCGUCUUGCGUCGCUAUAGCCGUUUUGCUCAGUGCUGAUAACAUGUCCGCCUCGUCCCCACCACCGCAGGGCGGCACUGCCACCUCCACUGUCGCGGCGCCGCCGGAGGAUGCGUCGCAGCUGUCGGCUGAUGACCUCCUGCAGCAAAUCGUCGAGCUGGUGAACAGGGAGCUGGAUCGCCGCUACUCCCUCGUCGACUUCGACGCCCUCGGCCGCAUUGAGCUGCUGCAGGUGGUGAACGACAUCUUUGCAAAGCUGCAGCCCAGCAUGAAGAUGGACAUGCACGCGGCACCGCCCGAGGAGGCCAUGCCGCGCAUGCUGGAAUUCCUCUUGAAGAUUCUUGGCUACCGCGUGCCGGUCUUCGUCCAAGGAAGUUUCCCGCAGAGCUUCGCUGACGGCGAGCCCCUCGUGGUGUACCCAACCAUGUACUGGAUCCUCACGCAUAUGGAGCUGAACGAGAAGCGCGUCUAUCUCGCCCGCUUUCUGCAGCCGUUGGACAUCCCGGACGACAUUCGUGCCCAGGAUGAGGAUGUUCGUACCCUCUUCAUGCAGUAUCAGGCGCUGCGCGGCGCCUUCAUUCAGACCCAUCAGAGGGUCGAAAAGCUCCGCUCCGCCUUCGCAGAUCCAGUGGAGACACGCCGCCAGGUCGGCGUCUUGGAGGAUGAGCGAGACCGCCUACAGGGGUACGUUGAAGCCGCCCUCAAGAAGCUGGCGGCCGUGCCGGAGAAGGAGAUGUUGCUGGCAGCCAGCAAGUCUCUCCGCAUGGCGCGUGAGGAGAGCACCAAGCUGGCCGAGCGAGAGGUGGAACAGCAGCAGGCCAAGGUGUCUUCCGAGGCACGCCGCACGGAAAUCAGCACCCGUCUGCAGAACCUCCGCCGCGACGCAGCGGACGGUCGCGUCGAGAUGAUGAUCCGGCGCAUGAAGGACGAAAUGGACACAAACCGGAUGAAGCUGCAGGACCAGCUGCCGCACGAGCUUGAGUCUGUCAAGAACGAGAACGCCGAGCUGCAGAAGCUCGUCUCGGAGCCGCUGGACAUGGUCGCACUCACCGCAAGAGAUCGCAAGCUGGACGACGAGCUGAAGGCGCUGCACGCGAAAAUCGCACAGCGGCAGCAGCCCGGCGCUGACGGGGCCUCCAUCCUGCGCUUCCGAGACCAGGUGCAGCGCGUCAUGGCGCGCAAGCAGGAGGUGCUGAACGAACUCAGCUCGCUGCAGGCCGACAACAACAAAGCCCUCAACGACAUCCGAGAACGUCAGUUGCGCAUUACGCAGCUGCAGUCCGCCACAAACAUGCUACGCAGCGAUGACUUCCGCGACUUUUCAAACCAGGUACGCGCGAAGAAGGCAGCAACGGAGGGUAUGCGCACCCGUCUCGCUGAGCUGCGCACGGAGUGGGGCACGCUGACCUUCACCGAGGCGACGCUUCAGGAGCAGUACAACGCCCUGGACGCUGCCAUUGGCGAUCUAGAGAGCAAGUUAGGCCUGCAGGGGUACAGCCGUACGGUAGAGGCUCUUUCCAAGCUGGCACACGAGAAGGACGCCAUAGAGGAGGUGAAGGGCAAAACGCUCGAGGAGCUGUCGCGCGUCGUGCAAGAGUUCACGCUCGCCAUUCGAGAGGGUCGCACUCGCCUUGCACCGCUCAUUAACGAGCUGCGCGCUGUUCGGCAGACGGCGGCGGAGGUUGAUCAAGAGUGGUCGGCGAGGAAGUCUCAGUACGAGUACCAGGAGAGCCUCUUGACUGAGGACAUCCAGAAGAUCGACGAGGACGUCACGCGCCUCAAGGAGGAGACGACGACGAGUGAGUCCCUCUACCACCGCGUUCGCACCCAGGGCCUCCUCCUCGCUGCACAGGCGAAGCGGGCAGAGGAGGAGCAGACGUACCGGACUGACCGCAACGCCUCACUAGACCCGCAGCACAAGACGUACGGUGACUACCUCGCCGAAGUGACACGCACGUUGGAGGCGCGGACGAAGGAGAUGCAAGGCAAGCGGCGCGACCUCGAGGAGACGCACGACACCAGCGUGCGGCAGGUGGAGUGGUUCAACGCGCUCCGCACGAUUCUUCAGGCCAAGCUGAAGAGCAUCCAGGCAGAGGCGCCGUCUGCAGGCGCGAGGACUCGCGACAACACCAUCGAUGACGACAUUCAGCAAGUCAUGGGGCGUGCCGGUGGGACCAAUAUGCUUGUGCUGAACAGCAACUAAGCCGAUGGCAGCGCUCCUGCCCCCCCUCCCCCCAUGACCUUCACCCCGCUGGUCAGGGAGGUUGCUCAGAUGUACACUAUACAAAGAAGGGAAAAGAUGCGUAAGCGCGCUCCCGGGGUGGGAUAUGGCCUGCCUUGCGGGCGAGAUAGCGAAAGGAAGCGCCGACACGGUGGCGCUUCAGUGCCGAAUGGCGGUGUGUGGAUGGCAAAGGGCGUACACGGACAUGCACCGUACACGCCGCGAGUGGUGUGUGUUACGCAGGUGUGUGCCUGGUCGUGCGUACGUGCGCCAACGGUGGACAGAGCCCGUGCCCCUGCACUCAAUGGCCGUGACUUUGGCCCCGCGUUGUCGCCCGUGACGGAUGGGUGAGCCUCCACAUGGAGGCGAACGUGUGCGUGUGCGUUUCGGUUUGUCUUCUUUGUGUUCUUUUUGUGCCCCUCCCCCUCCCUCUCCUGUCCUCCUGUUUUGUGCUGCCGAUCUUGCUGUUGUUGUUGUGCUCAUGUUUCUG
This 2801-nucleotide unclassified non-coding RNA is filed under the name Leishmania donovani. RNAcentral's name for it is "gene:LdHU3.34.0390(CDS-product:intraflagellar_tra nsport_protein_81_putative)". Lineage: Eukaryota; Euglenozoa; Kinetoplastea; Trypanosomatida; Trypanosomatidae. The record is from RNAcentral.